GUGGGGAAUAUUGGACAAUGGGGGGAACCCUGAUCCAGCCAUGCCGCGUGUGUGAAGAAGGCCUUUUGGUUGUAAAGCACUUUAAGCGAGGAGGAGGCUACCGAGAUUAAUACUCUUGGAUAGUGGACGUUACUCGCAGAAUAAGCACCGGCUAACUCUGUGCCAGCAGCCGCGGUAAUACAGAGGGUGCAAGCGUUAAUCGGAUUUACUGGGCGUAAAGCGCGCGUAGGUGGCCAAUUAAGUCAAAUGUGAAAUCCCCGAGCUUAACUUGGGAAUUGCAUUCGAUACUGGUUGGCUAGAGUAUGGGAGAGGAUGGUAGAAUUCCAGGUGUAGCGGUAAAAUGCGUAGAGAUCUGGAGGAAUACCGAUGGCGAAGGCAGCCAUCUGGCCUAAUACUGACACUGAGGUGCGAAAGCAUGGGGAGCAAACAGGAUUAGAAACCCGAGUAGUCC
This 451-nucleotide ribosomal RNA is filed under the name uncultured bacterium. Its description in RNAcentral is "partial 16S ribosomal RNA". It matches the Rfam family "Bacterial small subunit ribosomal RNA", at positions 354 to 796 of the family's 1533-position model. The record is from RNAcentral.